GAAAUGCGAUAAGUAAUGUGAAUUGCAGAAUUCCGUGAAUCAUCGAAUCUUUGAACGCACAUUGCGCCCUCUGGCAUUCCGGGGGGGCAUGCCUGUCCGAGCGUCAUUACGCACCCUCAAGCCCGGCUUGUGUGAUGGGCCCCGGCGUCUCGUUCGCGAGACGGGCCCGAAAGGCAGCGGCGGCGUCGACCCGAUGAGCCCGAGCGUAUGGGGACUUCUGUCACACGUUCGCGGUGCGGACCGGCGCCUGCUUGACUUUUCUGAUUAUCCAGGUUGACCUCGGAUCAGGUAGGGAUACCCGCUGAACGUAAGCA
RNAcentral lists this unclassified non-coding RNA (314 nucleotides) under plant metagenome. RNAcentral's name for it is "partial contains 5.8S ribosomal RNA, internal transcribed spacer 2, and large subunit ribosomal RNA". The stretch from base 1 to 106 matches the Rfam family "5.8S ribosomal RNA", at positions 50 to 154 of the family's 154-position model. The record is from RNAcentral.